Molecule: ribosomal RNA, 241 nt
Filed under: uncultured bacterium
Lineage: Bacteria
Description: partial 16S ribosomal RNA
Rfam family: Bacterial small subunit ribosomal RNA
Source: RNAcentral
GAUCAUGGCUCAGGAUGAACGCUAGCUACAGGCUUAACACAUGCAAGUCGAGGGGCAGCAUGAACUUAGCUUGCUAAGUUUGAUGGCGACCGGCGCACGGGUGAGUAACACGUACCCAACCUGCCGAUGACUCGGGGAUAGCCUUUCGAAAGAAAGAUUAAUACCCGAUGGCAUAAUUCUUCCGCAUGGUAGAAUUAUUAAAGAAUUUCGGUCAUCGAUGGGGAUGCGUUCCAUUAGGUUG